This 451-nucleotide ribosomal RNA is filed under the name uncultured bacterium. RNAcentral's name for it is "bacterial SSU rRNA". It matches the Rfam family "Bacterial small subunit ribosomal RNA", at positions 354 to 796 of the family's 1533-position model. The record is from RNAcentral.
GUGGGGGAUAUUGCGCAAUGGGCGAAAGCCUGACGCAGCGACGCCGCGUGGGUGAUGAAGGCCUUCGGGUCGUAAAGCCCUGUCGAGAGGGACGAAACGAUCGCGGUCGAAUAGGCCGCGUUCCUGACGGUACCUCUAAAGGAAGCACCGGCUAACUCCGUGCCAGCAGCCGCGGUAAUACGGAGGGUGCGAGCGUUGUUCGGAAUCACUGGGCGUAAAGCGCGUGUAGGCGGCUCGGCAAGUCUGGUGUGAAAGCCCGGGGCUCACCCCCGGAAGGGCACUGGAAACUGCCGAACUCGAGUCCCGGAGAGGAGGGUGGAAUUCCUGGUGUAGCGGUGAAAUGCGUAGAUAUCAGGAGGAACACCGGAGGCGAAGGCGGCCCUCUGGACGGUGACUGACGCUGAGACGCGAAAGCGUGGGGAGCAAACAGGAUUAGAAACCCCAGUAGUCC